UACGAAGGGGGCUAGCGUUGUUCGGAAUUACUGGGCGUAAAGGGCGCGUAGGCGGUUUAACAAGUUGGGUGUGAAAGCCCAGGGCUCAACCCUGGAACUGCACUCAAGACUGUUUUACUUGAAUUCGGUAGAGGUUGGUGGAAUUCCCAGUGUAGAGGUGAAAUUCGUAGAGAUUGGGAAGAACACCCGUGGCGAAGGCGGCCAACUGGACCGACAUUGACGCUGAGGCGCGAAAGCGUGGGGAGCAAACAGG
This 253-nucleotide ribosomal RNA is filed under the name uncultured bacterium. Its description in RNAcentral is "partial 16S ribosomal RNA". It matches the Rfam family "Bacterial small subunit ribosomal RNA", at positions 524 to 776 of the family's 1533-position model. The record is from RNAcentral.